AAAAUAAAAACUGUAAAUAUCACUACGGAGUCUUUAGGCGUCCCCUUCGCCGUCUUCCUGCGGAACGGGCUCGGAAACAAUGUCUUCCUGAUCUGAAAUGGUUAAAUAAGGAAUGAGCUACACCAGCCCAGUAAAGACAUCACACUAUCUCACCGUCAUGGAUGUAAAGGUGGGUAGAAAACACAAAAAGACCAAUGGAGCAUAAUUUACAACAAAUUCUUUUAUCAAUAAUAAAAUCCUUUACUAUCCAUUUACCUCGGUGAAAUUCAUAAAACAACAUACGAAAGCAAUAACAUUAUCAUCAUCAUGAAAUCAUAUGAACUGUAUAACAU
Molecule: long non-coding RNA, 332 nt
Filed under: Carica papaya (papaya)
Lineage: Eukaryota; Viridiplantae; Streptophyta; Magnoliopsida; Brassicales; Caricaceae
Description: long non-coding RNA (CPAP_LNC014200)
Source: RNAcentral